This 572-nucleotide long non-coding RNA is filed under the name Rattus norvegicus (Norway rat). RNAcentral's name for it is "long non-coding RNA NONRATT007464". The record is from RNAcentral. Lineage: Eukaryota; Metazoa; Chordata; Mammalia; Rodentia; Muridae.
GCGGCCGCGCCCCCCCUCCAGUGACGCGGCGCCGCCUCCUGUUCCCUCCCCCUGGCCGUGCAGAUACUUCGGAUGCCACUAGUUUGGGAAGUUGCAGAUCCGAGCCUAGCGGGGCAGCCGGGAGCCCCAGCGCCCCCAGACGCGCGUGGGAAGCGGCCUCCCCUCCCGACCUUGAGGGAGGAGAGCCGGGCGGGCGUCCAGACAGGCGGUCCCUCGGGCCUCUGGAGCUGGGGGCGCCUAGCAGCGGCGGCUGAAUAAUCUUUACAUUGUAGCUUUAUUCGCACAGCCAGGUCCACCCGCCGGCGUGCGCGCGCCCUCCCCGAGAGUCUGGUGCAGGCAGCGGGGGCGGAUCCGUUCGUUCUCAGCCUCCUCCCUUCCUCUCCUUCUCCUCCCCCCUGUUGCGCUCCUGAGUCUUUGAGGAACACAGCCUCCCGGUGGAAGUUUCUGGUACCUGUGACGAGGUCACCGGCCAGCAGAUGACCGAGACCAGCCCCUAGUCCUAGGUGUGGUCAAGAGUGUAUUGGGUUCCAAAGCCUUCCUGGACCCUACCACCAUGUCAGGAUCCACACAGC